UGCGGCGGUCUCCCAAGCACGCACCCGCACUCGCAGUCACACCGCCUCAUGGCGACCGACGACGGCGAGGGCCAGCAGCCGGUGGUGCUCAUCACGGGGUGCGCCAAGGGCGGGAUCGGGUACGAGUACUGCCAGGCCUUCGCGGGCCUCGGCUGCCGCGUGGUGGCCACCGACAUCCCCGACCAAGUCCCCGGCCUUGCCGCCGACCUCGCGGGCACGCCGGCCGCGGAGGCGCUCCCGCUCGACGUGACCUCGGACGCCAGCGUGGGCGCCGCCGUCAGCGACGUGCUGGCGCGGCACGGCCGCCUGGACGUGCUGCUCAACAACGCCGGCGUCGGCUGCACGGGCCCGCUCGCGGAGCUGGCCCCCGCCGCCGUGUCGCGCGCGCUCGACGUCAACUUCCUGGGCCAGGUCCGCACCGUGCGCGCUGUGGCGCCCCACAUGGCGGCGCGCGGGUCCGGCCGCAUCGUCAAUGUCGGCAGCGUCGUGGGCAACGCCGCCACGCCCUGGGCCGCGCCCUACUGCGCGUCCAAGGCCGCCGUGCACGCCGCCACCGACGCGCUCCGCCUCGAGCUCCGCCCCUUCGGGGUGCACGUCGUCAAGGUCGUGCCGGGGGCCGUCAGGUCGGGGCUGGGACGCGCCAACGCCGCGCACCUCGCCUCCCACCAGGAGUGGCGCAUGUACCGGGACUUCGCACCGGCCAUCGAGGAGCGCGCGAGGGCGUCGCAGACGGGGAAGGCCACGGACGCUGCCGUCUUCGCCAGGCACGUGGCGCGCCGGGUCAUGAGCGCGCGGCCGCCCAGGGAGAUCGUCUACGGCAACAUGACGCUGCUGUUCGCCGCGCUCGCCGUGUCGCCUGCGUGGGUGCGCGACGCCUUCUUUGCCAACCGCUUCGGGCUCAACAAGAAGCAGCGCUAGUUCAUCACAUCACUAGCACGUGUUCUUCUUGCGUUGGCCGAUCCAGUUCUCCACUCCGCCGAAUAACCGACGAGUCACCCACACCCGGCCACCCUGCAUCUUCAUCAUCUUCUUUUCUUUUCAUUUGAUAUGAAGUAAGCAACCAAAGCAUGAAUCUUCUUUUACUACUAGCACCUGUCUGUCAACGAAAAAACGCUUAAAACAUCAGCAUUCGUUAACAAUUGUGCUGUUCUUUCAAUGAUUUUAUUUCUUUAUUCUUAACUUUUUUUAUAAUAUUCUCCCUUUUAAUUAAGAACACAUAUUACUGUCCUCAAUUCCGACAUUUGUUCGCAUAAUUCAUAAGAGC
Molecule: unclassified non-coding RNA, 1264 nt
Filed under: Zea mays
Lineage: Eukaryota; Viridiplantae; Streptophyta; Magnoliopsida; Poales; Poaceae
Description: misc RNA Zm00001eb134160
Source: RNAcentral